GUGCUUGCUUCAGUAGCACAUAUGCUAAAAUUGGAAUGAUACAGAGAAAAUUAGCAUGGUCCCUGAGAAAAGGAUGACAUGUAAAUUUGUGAAGCAUUACAUAUUUUA
Jaculus jaculus (lesser Egyptian jerboa) is the source of this 108-nucleotide small nuclear RNA. Lineage: Eukaryota; Metazoa; Chordata; Mammalia; Rodentia; Dipodidae. The record is from RefSeq and is a predicted model, not a curated record.